CAGAUGGUGCCCACAGAACUUGUAGAGAAGGAGUUCUGGAGGCUGGUAAAUAGCAUUGAGGAAGAUGUGACUGUUGAGUAUGGAGCUGACAUCCAUUCCAAAGAAUUUGGCAGCGGUUUCCCUGUCAGUGACAGUAAACGGCACCUAACCCCUGAAGAGGAGGAGUAUGCUACCAGUGGUUGGAACCUAAAUGUGAUGCCGGUGUUGGAACAGUCUGUACUGUGCCACAUCAAUGCAGAUAUCUCUGGCAUGAAGGUGCCCUGGCUCUACGUGGGCAUGGUCUUCUCAGCCUUUUGCUGGCAUAUUGAGGAUCACUGGAGUUACUCCAUUAACUACCUCCACUGGGGUGAGCCGAAGACCUGGUAUGGGGUGCCCUCACUUGCAGCAGAACAUUUGGAAGAAGUGAUGAAGAAGCUGACACCUGAACUAUUUGAUAGCCAGCCUGACCUCCUGCACCAACUUGUCACCCUCAUGAAUCCCAACACCCUCAUGUCCCAUGGUGUGCCAGGUAUCACAGAGGCUGAGCGAGAGGCUUUUGAGCUGCUCCCAGAUGAUGAGCGCCAGUGUAUCAAGUGCAAGACUACGUGUUUCCUGUCAGCCCUGGCGUGCUACGACUGCCCAGACGGCCUUGUCUGCCUUUCCCACAUCAAUGAUCUCUGCAAGUGCUCCAGUAGCCGGCAGUACCUGCGGUAUCGGUAUACCUUGGAUGAGCUUCCUGCCAUGCUGCAUAAGCUGAAGGUUCGGGCUGAGUCCUUUGACACCUGGGCCAACAAAGUGCGAGUGGCCCUGGAGGUGGAGGAUGGGCGGAAGCGCAGUGAGUGAUGGGGGGAUGGAGGGACUCCACAGGCAAGUUCUAUUCCCUUUCUUCUGUACUCUGACCCCCUUCCUCUGCCUCUAUUCAAUACUGCCUACCCCUUGCUGCCCUCAUUUUUCUUCCAGGCCUUGAAGAACUGAGGGCACUAGAGUCUGAAGCCCGUGAGCGGAGGUUUCCUAAUAGUGAGCUGCUGCAGCAACUAAAGAACUGCCUGAGUGAGGCAGAGGCUUGCGUGUCCCGAGCUCUGGGACUGGUCAGCGGCCAGGAAGCUGG
This 1087-nucleotide small RNA is filed under the name Pongo abelii (Sumatran orangutan). RNAcentral describes it as "retained intron". The record is from RNAcentral. Lineage: Eukaryota; Metazoa; Chordata; Mammalia; Primates; Hominidae.